This 256-nucleotide ribosomal RNA is filed under the name uncultured bacterium. RNAcentral describes it as "partial 16S ribosomal RNA". It matches the Rfam family "Bacterial small subunit ribosomal RNA", at positions 524 to 776 of the family's 1533-position model. The record is from RNAcentral.
UACGUAGGGCGCAAGCGUUUGUCCGGAAUUAUUGGGCGUAAAGAGCUCGUAGGCGGUUUGUCGCGUCUGCUGUGAAAACCUAAGGCUCAACCUUGGGCUUGCAGUGGGUACGGGCAGACUAGAGUGCGGUAGGGGUGACUGGAAUUCCUGGUGUAGCGGUGGAAUGCGCAGAUAUCAGGAGGAACACCGAUGGCGAAGGCAGGUCUCUGGGCCGAUACUGACGCUGGAGGAGCGAAAGCCGUGGGGAGCGAACAGG